AAUUAUUUCUUUCAUCCAUCCAUAAAUCCUUUCCCAUUUAUAUGAAAUUCCUACACUUGCUAGCCCCUUUCCCGUCCAAUACUCAUUUGAUAAUUUUUUAUUUCCCUUGAAAAAAUGUGAGAAUAAUGGACAAGUAUAAUCCCCCCUACAAGGUUGAAACACUGACAACUUCUGGGUUACUGUAAGAAACUCUGGCUUUGGAUGCACUGAAGGUUUAAUGUUACAAGCAGUCUUUGCGUCAACACUUAAGUAUCUAGCAUCAUCAUCUUUUAAAGCUGCCAAACCAUCUUCCCCAGCCAGAUCACCCAAGCUAACACUUUCUUGAGAGCCACUACCAUUAUGAUAUGAUUUUGCCUCUGAUUCCGAACUAGCAAGAGGAUUUACAAGACUCCAUAUCUGCCCCACUGCUGA
This 411-nucleotide unclassified non-coding RNA is filed under the name Hevea brasiliensis (rubber tree). Lineage: Eukaryota; Viridiplantae; Streptophyta; Magnoliopsida; Malpighiales; Euphorbiaceae. The record is from RNAcentral.